GGGAGCCGCUAGCAUUCAAAGCUCAGAGCUGCUAAUAAAGAAUCUGCGCUGCACUUUGCCUAUUCAUGAUUUCUAUCUGAAUUGAGCAAAAGGACCCUCAGCUGAUCAGUUACAUGUGGGUGCCAGCAACUUCCUGAUGUGGGCUCAUGGGUGAGCUAUGUGGAAGCCUUCUGUACUAAACUGUGAAAUAAGUGUCACAGGACUAACAGAAGACAAGAUGAGAAAAGGAAUGUACAGCAUCUGCUAAGAUGUUAUUGAUAAACAUUAUUGUCUUUUCCUAUCUGUGUUAGGCGCUUUAUUUCCCAGGGUUUAAGGGUCCCACAUUGGAAGUCAUCUGACUACAGGAACACAUAGAUUUCUAAAGGGAUUCUAAGUUAAAGGAGUGAAGAAGUUCAGAAAAAGUCUACUGGAAACCAACACCUGUAGAAGCUCAGGGAGAGACUUGUUGGAAUGGUGCAUGAAUCUGGGUUAGUGUGAGCAUCCACAAAACUGCAAACCCUAAUGAUGUUUCUCUUGCUGAACGGCUGAACGGAGCAGAGAUGAGCAUGUUUAUCAGCCAUGCCGUGCCUGGUGGAACCGUCCUGUCUGCGCCUCACUACAUGAACAUUACUAUUAACUGUUGCCAGGAGAGCCAGAGAAGACAAAGAGCACCCACCACGCGGCACCGAUACUCUGCCAUCAGCACUCCGCCUCUUCUCUCUCCUCAUCUGCAGAAGGAUUAUUUUUCCCCCCUUUGCUGCAUCUUGAACAGACCCCCAUACUGCAUUAGAACCCCACCCACCCACACUGCUUUCUCUUUUCUGCCUUCCUGCUCCUGUUCCCCUGGGUACCAAUAAUAGCUGUGGAUGGUUGUAGUCAACACAUUGCUUGAGUCUGAAUCCUGACUCUGGUUGUGUGAUGUUGCACCAGUUCCAUAACCUCUCUGAGCCUGUUUUCUCCCCUGGGAGAUAAAGGAUUUGCUAGUUCCUUCUUCAUGAGGUUGUCAUAAGCGUGAAAUGAGCUCUGGGCGUGAAGACUCUCAUAUACAGCAAGAAUUUGUGGAACAAUGUUUUUUUAUUGUCACCAGUAUUCUCAUGGCUUUUUAUAUUUUCUUGGUAAUUGGUCCAUAGUAAAAUUGUGACAAUGAAGGAUAGCAAAGUCUAUAUAGUAUACAUAGCGUAUGUUCAAUAAACUCUAUGCAAGGGUCAUUUUUGGGGGGGUACUGGGGAUUGAAUCCAGAGACACUUUACCACUGAGCUACAUCCCCAGACCUUUUUAUUUUGGGAGAGUGUCUCACUAAGUUGCUAGGUCUGGCCUUGAAUUUGCAAUCUUUCUGCCUCAACCUCCUAAAUUGCUGGGAUUUCAGGUUUACUCCACCAUGCCCGGCUCUAUAGGUAUCAUUUCAACUGGCCCCCACACUCUGCUGAACAUAAGAAUCAGUGCUGGUUUGGAAAGCACAUCAGGAUCCUCCAGUGUUUUGGGGCUUUUGUUUUGAAAAGGCCCUUUUUACCAUUUUACUGCCCAUCGGAAGAAAUAAAGUCAAAUCAAUGGGCAGAACAUCAUUCCAACUUUCUCACCCCAGUUGAAGCCUUUUCCUGUGGAUCCAGAUAAAAAGUCUGUAGGAGACACUUCACGCUGUAGGGUCAGUGUGGAGGUUACAUAAUACCCAGUAAGUUUGCCUUUAAGGCAAAUGUUUGAAGUCUUUCUCCCUUUAGUUUGAUACAAAGAAUAUUUUCCCAGCAGACUUUUCCUAAUGUCCCAAUUUCAUGUCCUUACUUUUCCACACUCUGUGUAAGAGAGCUCUUUCUGAAAUGUACAAGUUUGUUGAAGAAGUUACAAUACCACAGAACACAUGGUGUGUUGCCCAAGUGGAUUUCACCUGGGCCGGGCCUCCUCCUGUCUAGACAGCCCAGCCCAGCUCUGGCCAUCCGUGACCUGCAGGGUGCAGGAGACAGGUCCAGAGGGCAGCUAAGCGGCCUAUCCAUUCACUGAGCUCUGAACUAAGUUCGGGUGACCCCAAACACUGUCCACUGGUUUGUACACCCACAGUACAAAGACGAGUUCCGUUCCUUUGUGCUGUCCCAGAACAUUUGCCAGCUCUCAGUCACGUUGCAGGGGAUCCUGUGGCCCUGCAAUGAAAGGCCCUAUUGUGAUGACUGGUCAACAAGGCAGAUCUAAGUCCAUUCUGGGCAUCAAAACUGGGAACCUCCCCGCUUUUUACGUGCUGAGAAGUGGGCGCUUAGUAUUGUAUUAAAGUAAAUGGGAAGGAGGCAGUUCCGUUAAAAAUACCCCAGUAAAGAAAAGGAGAUACUUAUCUGCUCAUUGUCUCCGACUAGAAGCUUUUAAAACGACCUGAGAAAUGGGCUUACUGCUUUCAUUGUUUUUUUCCUUCUUCUUUUUCCUCCUUCUCACUGACAUUUGUCCUCUUUUCUAAAACCUCCUCUCCUAGUGAUCCAGGCGACUGCUGGGAAUUCUCCCUCCACCAUGUGGACAAACAAGCAGAUCAUUCAAAGUAUUCAGAUCACACAGACAAAGACAUGGAAAUGCUUAGGAUUCAGAGUUCUGGCUGGUUUGAAAUGUGCUUUUGGGCAAAUGAUGUAGUGAGCUGAAUGUUCAUUAAAUAUACAAACCAAUUAAGAGCUGUUUAAUGCUAAGGCAAUUGAUCUUUCAGAGAUGGAUAUUUGGGUGCAGCACCAGAUCUUAACCCUGGCUGGGUACACCAGAGCACCUGCCUGGUUAGAGUUUUCUAGUCUAUAAAAUGAUAGUUAGGCUUCAGUGAACCCCAGAUUCCCUUGGGGGCUCAGUUCAAAUCCCAGCUUUGUUGUCUGCCUCUUCCUGGUGCUGCGAUUCCAUAGUAUCCUUCAAUUAUUCUAGGACUGAUUUGGUAGAAGGGAUCCAGAGCAAACGGAGGCCUCUACAUUAACAAUGCAGAAGUUGUGGUGUGAGGCUGACAUCUCUGAAGGCACAAGAGGGCAGAUGUUGAAAUGAAGAAGACAGUGAGACCCAGUGAGCAAAUGACCCUUGUUAGUGCAAAAGGACGGGGCCGAUGCAAACUUCAUGGAAUCAGCUCAGCAUAGCUUUUAUUAUUCAGGAACAGAAAGAAGCUUCUGAUGGACCCAUUUUCCUGGUGGAAAAUGAGCCACCAACCAAAGGGAGGGGGUUUAGGCUUAUUAGGUUGCAUUGAGCGGUGACUCAAUGAAUGAGCAGGUCAGUUUGGGCUUUCUUUACUGGGCCAGAUGGGGUUAGUAGGUGUGAGGUCAGUAUCUGGGAAAGAAUUUGCUUAGGAUGGCAUCAAUGCUUUGGCUUCUUCCUAGAAAUUGUCAUUUCAGACUUGAUGGCUAUCUCCACCCAGGGGCCUGUCUUGUCCCUGUGAAACACAGUGACUCCCUCAUACCUUCUCCCUGGGCCACAUGGUUUGGGGGUUUGUCUUUUUCCAUAUCCAACAAUGCUACUUCCUCUCUGGCAUACAGAAGCCCUGACUUGAGGUUCCCUGAGCUCUUUGUUUUUUCCCCCCGAAACAACUUCCAUCUGAAGUGAGAGGACUUGGUUCCUGAGUAGAGGAGACAGGACUGGAAUCCCAGGGAGACCACUCACCUGGAAUCCUCAGGACACAACACGGUAGAGACAACUGCACCCAGGAGAACUCGAGUUCUACAGUGUGCUCUUCAGCUGGGUACUGAUCAGCAUGUGUGUGUGAGGGAAGGGCACAAGGGUGCGUUAGAAUCCCCUAAAAGGAUUUGAGGGAAGUAUCCCUAGAGCUCACUCAGGACGGGGGUCGUCCCUGUUACCACCACUCAGAGUUGAAAGCCUUACAAUCCACAAGGUACUUAUGGGUAAGGUACUGGGAAGGGCAUUCUGGGUAUUGGGGCUUAAUUACCUCAAACUAGUAUGUAGGCUAUUAGACUAGAGGCAGUCCCAGCCCCUCCCCAAAAAGGCUUCAAAGUACACUGUGAGAGGGUCAGAAUAUUUCCAAGUAACUAAACUGUGUUCCAGAACAACACUUGGGAUAUUUUUUAACAUAACAUUAUACCUAGUGCUUAGCAAGGAAAAAAUUCAAUCAAAAGAAACAUGAAGAGACUGAUACCAAAAGCACAUCAUAUCCAAGUUGCUCAAAACCAGUGAUAAAGGCUUGAAAUCAGCUAAAGGAAAAAAAAUGUUAGGUUAUGAACAGAAAAGUAAAGAUAAGGAUGACAAUGGAGGUCUUGUCAGAAACAAGGCGGUGACAAGACAGAGGAACAAUCAUCUUUAAAACACUGAAGAAAAACUAUUGUCAACCCUGAAUUCUCUACUCAGCAAAAAUGUUUUUCAAAAACAAGUGCAAAAGAAAGAUGUUUUCAGAUAUUCUCACCCUGAAAAAAAAAAAAUGAUCCUGUAUUAGAAGAAAUGUACUAAAAGAAAGUCCUUCAGGCAGAAGGAAAAUGAUACCAGAUAAAAACUUGGCUCCUCAAAAAGGAAAGAAGAGCUCUGGACGAGGCACUUCAACUACUUGAAACAUGUAACAAGCUCUGGAGCGGGACUUUUCCUGUUGCUGUUGGCUAUUUGAAGCCCACAGUGACGCCAACGAAGUUCUCCACAUCUGAGCCAACAUGCCCAGGAGCCAGAGAUUCUUAAGAGAUGACUUAUGUGACUCUAUUAGCACCAACACCACCUUCUACCUUGUGAGGAAACAGGCAGAGAGAGGUUGCCUAACUUUUCCAGAGGAUGGACCUGGUAGCUCCUGCCAAAUGUUCAACCUCAGGGUGUGUAUACCCAAACGCCUUUGUCUUGAAGAAAACAGAGUAUUUUCUACAGGAAUAUCGGUUGUUCCUGAGGUCUGUUAGUGUUCAUAGUGCUCUGGCUGCUUCAGAAGCCGCAGCUUUGUCGGCCUUGGAACAUCUCAAUGGCUGUGGGGACAGGAUAGCACUAAGAAAAGCCAAGAAGCAAAAGAAGGAUCUGAAAUUCAGAUAUUGGACAACAUAAAGAAAGACUACAGGGUCCUUGGAGUUGGUCAAAGGAUGCCACACCUAGGUUUUUCCAGAAAAAAAAAAAAAAUUGUCUUUUUGCUGUAGCUGGACGGGGUGAGGGGCUUCUUAAAAGCAUUCUGAUGCCACCUCCUGGUCAGACCAAGGACUUGGGAACUGAAAUGCACAAGAAACAAGCACUUACUGAAGCACCUACAGUCUAAUCUCUGUUUCUGUCAUUAUUUCGGCAGGCCAUUAUUUGAUCUGUGCCUCACGUGUUUGGCGCUGUUUGACUUCCUGGAAACCUCAUGUGCAAGGAUGCAAGGUUGAAGCAGUAGCGUUUGUUAUCCUCUUGUCUGCAAACAAAGCCUCUUUUCUGUUACAGAAAUUAGGAGUAGGAAAAUCAAUGCCUUCCCCCACAGGUGAAUCAUCAAGAAAAUGUGCAAGUCUUCAAACGGUGAUGGUUCCACUCCAGGCUGGUGAAUUCCAUGAGCAAACAAAGCUCUGUUUGUAACCCAGUUAGAUAAGAAUGUUCUGGGGCAUUUUUUUUUUCUUGGUACAGGAAAUAAGAGUUGGGUGAUU
Ictidomys tridecemlineatus (thirteen-lined ground squirrel) is the source of this 5501-nucleotide non-coding RNA. NCBI's taxonomy places the organism in Eukaryota, Metazoa, Chordata, Mammalia, Rodentia, Sciuridae. The record is from RefSeq and is a predicted model, not a curated record.